ACAACAACAACAACAACAAACCCAGUGUAUUCCCACCUAGUGGGGUCUGGGGGGUAAGAUGUACGCAGUCCAUACCUCUACCUCUGAUGAAGUAGAAAGGUUGUUUCCGAUAGACCCCCGGCUCAAGACACGAGAUACCACACCAACACAUAGUAAAGCACAGAAGCAGAUUACAUAACAUAAAUACGGCACCCAUAAGUAAUAUAAAACAGAGGAAAGCACACAGAUUCGUA
RNAcentral lists this long non-coding RNA (233 nucleotides) under Capsicum annuum. RNAcentral describes it as "long non-coding RNA (CANN_LNC002867)". Lineage: Eukaryota; Viridiplantae; Streptophyta; Magnoliopsida; Solanales; Solanaceae. The record is from RNAcentral.